GUUUAACAGACUAGAACGCAAUUCAAAUAUGUUGAAUAUUAUCACAACAUAAUUAAUAUAUUUGCAGUGCAAGCAAUAGCUACAUAUGACUAGUGAGUCACCAUAUAGUCCAUACCAUUUGUUCAAAUUACUAAUUAGCACAUCUGUGAAAGCAUCCAAGAACAUGUGUUUUUCAGUUGACUGCGUUCGUAUGAAGGACUUGAGAAUCUUACAUAGUAGAACCAAAGAGAAAAAAUAAAUAUUUUUGUUCUUGCUUGCACGUUGUCCUGUAAAAAAUCAAAGAAUAUUGUAAUUUUUCCAAUCGUAUUUUACGCAAAACUAUAAUUUUUAAGACUGAAAAUAAUAAAAAUAAAUAUAUACUAUAAGUAUGGUGGCAAAAGAACAUCCAAGUGGCUUUCAAUUAUUUCCAUUGAGAAUAAGCGAACACGAAAAUUACAUUUAAAGGAUGUCUUAGAUAGACAAGUCGUUCAAACAAAGGCUCGUAAAGUUCUUUUUUAACUAUACAAUAUGUUAUUGUUUUUAAUAAACUUAUGUUAGUAAUAAAACAAAUUUACUAUUAUAAGUAAAAUUUUUUUUUAUUAACUUCUAGCUUUACUAUUUAUUAAUUGGAUUCGUCAUGGGAGCCUCUAUCUUCUAUAUAUAUCCCAGGGCCACCUGCAAGUUUCACGUUAUAGUCGUUAUACGGUAAGUCUUUUAAAAUAUAAAGCUGACAUACCGUCUCUUUCUGCUUGGAACCGUAUUUGUAUGCAACAUAUUGAAGUAUACUCGACACAGUCGACACCUAUACUACACAUUAAAACGACUUCCCCGGUUUCAUUUUUUUGUUGUUUCGUACAUUAUUAUGUUUCAAAAAGCAGCUUAUGAAUAAUAAUAAAAUUUAUAUCUACAUUUAAUUUACAUACAGUUGGUAGAACCUGUAGGUACACUUGAAGAAACAAUAAGCAAAAUUAUUCAUUGUAUUUAAUAUUAAUACUGGGUAAUAUUAACGGCCACUUUACUAUACUGUAGUACUAUAUUACUUUGUACUUUUUUGUGUACACAUUUCUAAUAUAUUUACAUUAUAAUACAGCUGGUAAUUUGUCACGAAAAAUUUAUAUAAUUCUCAGGGUAAUAUACAAUUUAUAAGCAUACUAUAGUAUACAACCAUUUUUUUAAACCUUUUGUCAAUUUGUUAUAUACCUAUAUAGUCAUAUUCAUUUGAUGUGAAAUUGUGAAAACAAUUUAAUAAGAUACUAAUUACUGUGUACAAUCUAUUUAUUUUUGUCUAAAUUUGUAAUAUUUUAAGAUAUUUGAAGUGUAUAACAGCGGCUUCUCGAUACUUUUAUUUAUUUAUACUCAUACAUUUUUGAAUGGUUAUACAUAAUAAUAGUUGCAAAAGACUGAGUGUUCGACGAGGAAAAACCUACUUGUGCUAUCCAAUAGCGCAUAAACCUGAUAAUUGUAGUAAGGCCAACUUGUAAGAUGAAGGACGCUACUAGAAAUAACGCUAUGUAAGAAUAAUUUAAAAAGUAAGUUUGAUUGUUCCAUUAUAU
Long non-coding RNA from Rhopalosiphum maidis (corn leaf aphid), 1532 nucleotides. RefSeq lists it as uncharacterized. NCBI's taxonomy places the organism in Eukaryota, Metazoa, Arthropoda, Insecta, Hemiptera, Aphididae. The record is from RefSeq and is a predicted model, not a curated record. The transcript is spliced from 3 exons.